GCGGCCGUAGCUCAGUGGAUAGAGCAACUGGCUACGAACCAGUAGGUCGGAGGUUCGACUCCUUCCGGCCGCACCA
Molecule: transfer RNA, 76 nt
Filed under: Granulicella cerasi
Lineage: Bacteria; Pseudomonadati; Acidobacteriota; Terriglobia; Terriglobales; Acidobacteriaceae
Also listed under: 1 other name
Description: tRNA-Arg
Rfam family: tRNA
About the family: Transfer RNA (tRNA) molecules are approximately 80 nucleotides in length.
Source: RNAcentral